GCAGUCGAGCGGAUGAAGGGAGCUUGCUCCUGGAUUCAGCGGCGGACGGGUGAGUAAUGCCUAGGAAUCUGCCUGGUAGUGGGGGAUAACGUCCGGAAACGGGCGCUAAUACCGCAUACGUCCUGAGGGAGAAAGUGGGGGAUCUUCGGACCUCACGCUAUCAGAUGAGCCUAGGUCGGAUUAGCUAGUUGGUGGGGUAAAGGCCUACCAAGGCGACGAUCCGUAACUGGUCUGAGAGGAUGAUCAGUCACACUGGAACUGAGACACGGUCCAGACUCCUACGGGAGGCAGCAGUGGGGAAUAUUGGACAAUGGGCGAAAGCCUGAUCCAGCCAUGCCGCGUGUGUGAAGAAGGUCUUCGGAUUGUAAAGCACUUUAAGUUGGGAGGAAGGGCAGUAAGUUAAUACCUUGCUGUUUUGACGUUACCAACAGAAUAAGCACCGGCUAACUUCGUGCCAGCACCGCGGUAAUACGAAGGGGCAAGCGUUAUCGGAAUUACUGGGCGUAAAGCGCGCGUACGUGGUUCACCAAGUUGGAUGUGAAAUCCCCGGGCUCAACCUGGGAACUGCAUCCAAAACUACUGAGCUAGAGUACGGUAGAGGGUGGUGGAAUUUCCUGUGUAGCGGUGACAUGCGUAGAUAUAGGAAGGAACACCAGUGGCGAGAGCGACCACCUGGACUGAUACUGACACUGAGGUGCUAAAGCGUGGGGAGCAAACAGGAGUAGAUACCCUGGUAGUCCACGCCGUAAACGAUGUCGACUAGCCGUUGGGAUGCUUGAGAUCUUAGUGGCGCAGCUAACGCGAUAAGUCGACCGCCUGGGGAGUCUGCCGCAAGGUAAAACUCAAAUGAUUGACGGGGGCCGCACAACGGGGGACAUGUGGUUAAUUCAAGCACUCNAAUACCUUACUGGCCUGACUGCUGAGACUUCCAGAGAUGAUUGUGCCUCGGAACUCAACAAAGUGCUC
This 966-nucleotide ribosomal RNA is filed under the name Pseudomonas sp. OG. RNAcentral's name for it is "bacterial SSU rRNA". It matches the Rfam family "Bacterial small subunit ribosomal RNA", at positions 57 to 1043 of the family's 1533-position model. The record is from RNAcentral. Lineage: Bacteria; Pseudomonadati; Pseudomonadota; Gammaproteobacteria; Pseudomonadales; Pseudomonadaceae.